UACAGAGGUCACAAGCGUUGUUCGGAAUUACUGGGCGUAAAGGGUGCGUAGGCUGUUUUGUAAGUCUGUCGUGAAAUACCAGGGCUCAACCCUGGGGCUGCGAUAGAUACUACAUGACUAGAGAUCGGGAGAGGUAAAUGGAAUUCCUAGUGUAGGGGUAAAAUCCGUAGAUACUAGGAGGAACACCAGAGGCGAAGGCGAUUUACUGGAACGAUUCUGACGCUGAGGCACGAAAGCGUGGGGAGCAAAUAGG
Molecule: ribosomal RNA, 253 nt
Filed under: uncultured bacterium
Lineage: Bacteria
Description: partial 16S ribosomal RNA
Rfam family: Bacterial small subunit ribosomal RNA
Source: RNAcentral